Molecule: ribosomal RNA, 394 nt
Filed under: Malaclemys terrapin centrata
Lineage: Eukaryota; Metazoa; Chordata; Testudines; Emydidae
Also listed under: 1 other name
Description: partial 12S ribosomal RNA
Rfam family: Bacterial small subunit ribosomal RNA
Source: RNAcentral
UUAGCCCUAAACCUAGAUAUUUAUAUACAAAAAUAUCCGCCAGAGAAUUACGAGCGAAAACGCUUAAAACUCUAAGGACUUGGCGGUACCUCAAACCCACCUAGAGGAGCCUGUUCUAUAAUCGAUAACCCACGAUUCACCUCACCAUCUCUUGCCAACCAGCCUAUAUACCACCGUCACCAGCUUACCCUAUGAAGGAUACAAAAGUAAGCAAAACAAUAUUAACCAUUAACAAGUCAGGUCAAGGUGUAGCUAAUUGAAAUGGAAGAAAUGGGCUACAUUUUCUAUACUAGAAAUAACACUCACGGAAAGGAACCAUGAAACAGUCCAGCAAGUAGGAUUUAGCAGUAAACUGGGAACAGAGAGCCCAAUUUAAACCGGUCCUGAGGUGCGC